GCCACCGUUCAAAGAUCCUAAGUACAGGUAAACGGAUUAAGGUGCCACCUCAUCUCACCUGUAAAGUCGGUAGCCCACGUACCUGUAACAGGAGGCCCCGCCCCCCAAAUAUGUUGUGAUCGCACAGUCAGUGCUCGAACAGCACCAGCAAACCAGUUGCCUCAACACUUUCCCUUUAUUAACAUGUUCCGUCCGUAACGUGCACUCCUGCAAAUCCAACGGUAACCAUGUCCGAGAAUCCGGAAAGUACCGCGAGUGCAGCAACAGGCCAGGGCGGUACCGUAGCCCCGGUGCCUCAACCGACCCCCAACAAGAGCUGGGUCCAGUUCGACGACGAGAAAUCACCCGCGAAACCGGACGCAAAGGACUCACCUGCGGUCAUAACGACGGAGAGCGUCCAGGUCAACUUGGAGCGCAGCCUGAACAAAUCCCUGGACAACGGACCACCUCCGGACCCGAAACCGUUGCGCAAUGUCGAAUUGCCCAUCGCCACCGUCGAGCCCAUCAGACAGGGAUUCUCUAAUGGGGACAUUAUUGUUACUUUGUUGCCCGUCAACACGAAACUCCCAUGGAUCACGCCCGCUCAGUUCCGACCCGAAUUGGUACCGGAGGAACUUAUGGCGCAAGGUUUAACGUUAACAGUUGAGGAAUACGUCCAAGCAAUGGAACUGCUGGUCAACGACGUGCGCUUCACCCUCUACAACGUCUGCUACAAGAGGGUGUUAGUCCUCUGGAUCACGCUAGCGUUCUUCGUCCUGCUCGGUCUCCUCUUCUCCGGCCUCACCGGUCUCACGCUCUUCGGUCUCGGGAUCGCGUGGCUGAUCCUGAACGCGGCCGCGAUCUUCUUUUCGAUCUGGCUCAAGUACCGUCUGUCACGAAACUUGGAACGUUGCCUGGCCCACGUCAACAAGCAGCUGCUGCGCCACAAGAUCGUGCUGGCGCUCGACGACCGCGGCAAGAUAUCGUGCCACAAGGUGAACCUGUGCUUCCUCUACAUGGACUCGGCUCCGUGCAUAGCCCAGCUUCAGACCACGAUCGAGCAACAGGAACGGGAUCCGGCCAGCGGCUGGGAACAGCGCAUGGACAUCACCGCCAACGACAUCGUCAUCCAGGGUAGCAGGACGACGAGGCUAUCCAGGAAGCAGGAGAGGGCGGCGUUGUUGUACCUGAGGUACGUGUCGCGUUGGGGUCGCGACAGAGUGAGGGGCCGUUUGGCCAGUCCGCCGGUUACCGGCGGUCGCCACUGCCCUUCGCACCAGUGCCCGUGCCAGUUUGUCGAGGAGCAUCUUCACUGCAAGCCCCAAGGCAAGUUGACUCUUAGGUCGUUUUUCUCUCUGCCCGAUCAGACCACGCCGGCUUCCACUGGUGGUGGUGUUUGCAACGUCAUGUAAAUUGGAAAUUUCUUUUCAAUUGGGUUCUCUUAUGGAUUUUUGGCACUCGAAAUUGACUAACUGGGGAACAUCCGAUAUUUGUGACUUGGGAACAAGUCUUAACCAAUUAAAAAUGACUACCAACUACAUUGCGUUUAACCAAUUUACAUGUUUUUGGCAUUGAUCAAAUAAUUGGUAUCAUGAAUUGGUAUAUCAAGUAAAGUAGUUUUCAUCAAUGUUGAUCAAGUAGUUUCGGCGUAAGGGGUGCGUUGGUAGAAAUUCCCUACAAAUUUAUUUUAUGUAGAAAUUAUUCGUUUUAUUUAGUUUCUAGUCAUAUCAAACAAGAACAUAGGUUCAAGUCAAUAUAGACAAAUCAUUAGUGUACUAGCGACUAUACGGAAUUGCUUGUAGGGAGUCUCGAAUAUAUAUUUUUUGCUUCGUCCUAUAAAAAAAACCUAUUUUUUAUGCAAAUGAUAAUUAUUUUUUCUUUUUUGUGGUGAUUGGAAAUACUUAAUAUAUUCUUAUCUACUCAUAUCUCAUAACCUGAAUCUCACAUUUGUCAAUUAUUCUCGUGUAAUAACUGGCAGCAUUAUCAUAAUUAUUUCGAAUUAAUAAAAAAUAUAUAUUGACAUUUGGGCAAUAAAAGUGUACUUAAGACAUUAACUAUAAAAUGGUUAAUCACAAUUCAAUAUAAUUUUAAUAGGUUGUUGUAUAAGCUUUUACAACUAAUGACUUAUAUUUAUAUAUUUUAAUAAAAUCAAUAAGUUUCAAUAUUAAAAGGGAUAAUUUAAACGUGUUUCAUCUUCCGACGUUGACAAACAUAAUUGUUCAAUUAAUAGACUGCUAGAUAAAUAAGUUUAAGUGUACUUAUCCUAACAUGUAUAGUGAGAAUAAAUCCGUCCAGAAUAUGUGUAUAUAUUUGUUUUUAUGAAUAAAGAUAUUGUAUACCGUGACUAAUUUAAUUUCAUGCUUCCUCUCUCUUUCCUACUAACCAAUUUUUCCGAAGGGGCUUAUGUAAGUAACUUGGUAAGUAAUAUGUGGUGUGGGAAUACAGAAUGUGUGUAAUUUUUCUUAAUUGUAGUUUUAGUAAAUAUUUCAUUUCUGAAUGGAUUUGCAAUAAAGAGUAACGCUUUUGUGGUAAAAGUGCAAUUUUAAUUUUUCAGCAAGCUUUCCUUUCUAUCCAUAAACCACCAUCAUAAAAAGGUUACCCUUGUGAUUGGUGUUUCUUCAUGGGGGACAGAAAUGUUCAAUUUGACAUUACACCAAUUCAUCCACCAACAUAAUUUUAAUAUUACUAACACUAAAUACAUUCCUUAGUUUUAGGUCAAUAAUAAUCAACAUAUUAUAAAGCAAAUAUGUAUAAUUAUAUAUUUUGUAUUGAAAAACAAUCACAUUGUUAUUGUUAUUAAAUAUAUUCACGUUAAUGUU
Molecule: RNA transcript, 2798 nt
Organism: Aethina tumida (small hive beetle)
Lineage: Eukaryota; Metazoa; Arthropoda; Insecta; Coleoptera; Nitidulidae
Exons: 5
Source: RefSeq, a predicted model, not a curated record